ACCCCAGUGUUAACAACCUCAUUUCCUUCUGACCCACAGAAAGUGUGACAGGACUGACUCGUUGUCAACAUGAGCGACUGUAUUCCAGCCAGAGAGGUUCUCCCAUUCCAGGAGGGCCUCAUGUGCCUGAAUGUGACGAGAAAGGAAACUACCGGCCACUUCAGUGCCACGGCAGCACCGGGCAGUGUUGGUGUGUUGACACUGAUGGCCAGGAGAUUCCUGGGAGCAGAACCCCUCCAGGUGAUGCCCCACCACGUUGCAGGAUUCCAGAGCCAACUCAGAGGCCACAAACGAUGUGUGAACGCUGGAGACAGAGCCUGCUGGAACAUUAUGGAGGCAGACCCCAGAGUGACCAGUAUGUGCCCCAAUGCGACCCUCUGGGCAACUUUAACCCACUACAGUGUCAUGGAAAUAGCGGCUACUGCUGGUGUGUGGAUGAACAUGGCCGGGAAAUUCAAGGCACUCGAUCGGAGCCUGGGGUACCCCCUGCAUGCCUUCCUAGCGUCCCUCCUCCAACCAUCCGUCCAACUCCACGUCCUGAGAUAAUUCUGCCUGGAUCUGGGACAUUCUUGCUUUAUGCUCAGGGCCAGCAAAUCGGUUCCUUGCCACUGAACGGAACGAGGUUUAAGAAGGAGGCAGCGAAGACGGUUCUCUCACUGCAUGUAAUGUAUUUCCAUGCAAGGUGGGGACAAG
Molecule: long non-coding RNA, 693 nt
Filed under: Notechis scutatus (mainland tiger snake)
Lineage: Eukaryota; Metazoa; Chordata; Lepidosauria; Squamata; Elapidae
Description: lncRNA (ENSNSUG00000019327.1)
Source: RNAcentral